CCGCAUCGCUGCCGUACCCCGGCGAAGGCCGGGGCCCAGUUGCGGAACGCCCCGAUGGAGUCGCCGACAUUGCCCACCUGGACCCCGGCCUUCGCCGGGGUACGCAGCGAUCAGU
RNAcentral lists this microRNA precursor (115 nucleotides) under Sphingomonas yantingensis. RNAcentral describes it as "microRNA MIR1846". It matches the Rfam family "MIR1846 microRNA precursor family", at positions 1 to 86 of the family's 110-position model. Lineage: Bacteria; Pseudomonadati; Pseudomonadota; Alphaproteobacteria; Sphingomonadales; Sphingomonadaceae. The record is from RNAcentral.